AUUGAACGCUGGCGGAAUGCUUUACACAUGCAAGUCGAACGGCAGCACGGACUUCGGUCUGGUGGCGAGUGGCGGACGGGUGAGUAAUGUAUCGGAACGUGCCCAGUCGUGGGGGAUAACGUAGUGAAAAUUACGCUAAUACCGCAUACGAUCUAUGGAUGAAAGCGGGGGAUCGCAAGACCUCGCGCGAUUGGAGCGGCCGAUAUCAGAUUAGGUAGUUGGUGGGGUAAAGGCCCACCAAGCCAACGAUCUGUAGCUGGUCUGAGAGGACGACCAGCCACACUGGAACUGAGACACGGUCCAGACUCCUACGGGAGGCAGCAGAGGGGAAUUUUGGACAAUGGGCGAAAGCCUGAUCCAGCCAUUCCGCGUGCAGGAUGAAGGCCCUCGGGUUGAAAACUGCUCUUGUACAGAACGAAAAGGUUUCUACUAAUACUAGGAGCUCAUGACGGUACUGUAAGAAUAAGCACCGGCUAACUACGUGCCAGCCGCCGCAGUAA
This 500-nucleotide ribosomal RNA is filed under the name uncultured bacterium. Its description in RNAcentral is "partial 16S ribosomal RNA". It matches the Rfam family "Bacterial small subunit ribosomal RNA", at positions 30 to 523 of the family's 1533-position model. The record is from RNAcentral.